CCCUUAGAUGUCCUGGGCCGCACGCGCGCUACACUGAUGCAUGCAACGAGUUUAUAACCUUGGCCUGAAGGGUCUGGGUAAUCUUUUGAACGUGCAUCGUGAUAGGGAUAGAUUAUUGCAAUUGUUAAUCUUGAACGAGGAAUUCCUAGUAAACGCGAGUCAUCAGCUCGCAUUGAUUACGUCCCUGCCCUUUGUACACACCGCCCGUCGCACCUACCGAUUGAAUGGUUCGGUGAAGAUCUCGGACUUCGAUAUUUAUUCUUUAUUGAGUUUAUAUUGUGGGAAGUUAUCUAAACCUUAUCAUUUAGAGGAAGGAGAAGUCGUAACA
RNAcentral lists this ribosomal RNA (328 nucleotides) under uncultured eukaryote. Its description in RNAcentral is "partial 18S ribosomal RNA". It matches the Rfam family "Eukaryotic small subunit ribosomal RNA", at positions 1470 to 1796 of the family's 1831-position model. The record is from RNAcentral.